Molecule: long non-coding RNA, 607 nt
Filed under: Nicotiana tabacum (common tobacco)
Lineage: Eukaryota; Viridiplantae; Streptophyta; Magnoliopsida; Solanales; Solanaceae
Description: long non-coding RNA (NTAB_LNC001244)
Source: RNAcentral
GUUUUUAUUUUUUCUUAAUAAAAGGCGCUGGAAGGCGCUGAAUUUAUUAUUAUGCAGUACAUUAAAGAGAGUUAUUACAAUGCUGCACUGAUCUUAUCGAAACAAUCCCUAGUAACUCUUUGCGGAAAGUAGAGAAAGCAAAUAAAGAUUGUUCACUCCAGAAGUGUUCGUCACACUCAGAGUUAGUAUGUGAGUUACAGUUGUUCCCAAACUGCGCUAGUGUAUGCGCUACUUGGUUUCCUUCACGGUAGACAUGCCUAACUUCCGGCUGGCCCAGUGCGUCGAAUAGGAACCUGCAAUCAUGGAGAAAAUUAGCAUUAGCUUUGUUGUGAGAAUUGUCUUGCAAUAGGUUAAGUAAUACCUGAUAGUCUGUUUCCACUAUAAUCGGAGUUCGAUUUUUUAUAAAAGCAAGUUCCAAUCCUUUUAGUAGGGCGAUGACUUCUGCUUGGAUGGGUGAUGAGACCAUUGUAUGGUAGGAGAAUCUAUCAAUCCAUUUUUCUUCGGAAUCUCUUAUGUUUCCACCUGCUCCUCCAAUGAUGGAGUAUUUUUGGUGUGCACCAUCUAUAUUGAGUUUAUAGAUGUUUUGUGGUGGGGGUUCCCAUUUUAU